RNAcentral lists this unclassified non-coding RNA (22 nucleotides) under Mus musculus (house mouse). RNAcentral's name for it is "oocyte_clustered_small_RNA13676". Lineage: Eukaryota; Metazoa; Chordata; Mammalia; Rodentia; Muridae. The record is from RNAcentral.
AGUUCAGAAGCAGAGAGUGGAG